AGUAAAAGUCGUAACAAGGUUUCCGUAGGUGAACCUGCGGAAGGAUCAUUACAGAGUUCAUGCCCGAAAGGGUAGACCUCCCACCCUUGUGUAUUAUUACUUUGUUGCUUUGGCGAGCUGCCUUCGGGCCUUGUAUGCUCGCCAGAGAAUACCAAAACUCUUUUUAUUAAUGUCGUCUGAGUACUAUAUAAUAGUUAAAACUUUCAACAAUGGAUCUCUUGGUUCUGGCAUCGACGAAGAACGCAGCGAAAUGCGAUAAGUAGUGUGAAUUGCAGAAUUCAGUGAAUCAUCGAAUCUUUGAACGCACAUUGCGCCCCUCGGUAUUCCGUGGGGCAUGCCUGUUCGAGCGUCAUUUACACCCUCAAGCUCUGCUUGGUGUUGGGCGUCUGUCCCGCCUCCGUGCGCGGACUCGCCUCAAAGUCAUUGGCAGCGGUCUCGUCGGCUUCUCGCGCAGCACAUUUGCGCUUCUUGGAGCCCCGGCGGAUCAGCGUCCAGCAAGCAAUUUCAUGACUUGACCUCGGAUCAGGUAGGGAUACCCGCUGAACUUAAGCAUAUCAAUAAGCGGAGGA
RNAcentral lists this ribosomal RNA (569 nucleotides) under uncultured fungus. RNAcentral describes it as "eukaryotic LSU rRNA". The stretch from base 199 to 352 matches the Rfam family "5.8S ribosomal RNA". The record is from RNAcentral. Lineage: Eukaryota; Fungi.